RNAcentral lists this ribosomal RNA (468 nucleotides) under uncultured bacterium. RNAcentral's name for it is "partial 16S ribosomal RNA". It matches the Rfam family "Bacterial small subunit ribosomal RNA", at positions 28 to 507 of the family's 1533-position model. The record is from RNAcentral.
GACGAACGCUGGCGGCGUGCUUAACACAUGCAAGUCGAACGGAAAGGCCCUGCUUUUGUGGGGUGCUCGAGUGGCGAACGGGUGAGUAACACGUGAGUAACCUGCCCUUGACUUUGGGAUAACUUCAGGAAACUGGGGCUAAUACCGGAUAGGAGCUCCUGCUGCAUGGUGGGGGUUGGAAAGUUUCGGCGGUUGGGGAUGGACUCGCGGCUUAUCAGCUUGUUGGUGGGGUAGUGGCUUACCAAGGCUUUGACGGGUAGCCGGCCUGAGAGGGUGACCGGCCACAUUGGGACUGAGAUACGGCCCAGACUCCUACGGGAGGCAGCAGUGGGGAAUAUUGCACAAUGGGCGGAAGCCUGAUGCAGCAACGCCGCGUGCGGGAUGACGGUCUUCGGGUUGUAAACCGCUUUCGCCUGUGACGAAGCGUGAGUGACGGCAAUGGGUAAAGAAGCACCGGCUAACUACGUG